UCAAGCGCACAGUUGAAGAGGAGUGCAUGGUUUCUGGCAUUUGGCUGGGCCUUUGUCUCUCGCUCCCACCAGAGCUUGGAAUCCGUCUCUGCUCUUCUGCAUUCUCCACCUCGGCAGCCCCUGGGGACUCUGUGACGGCCUCUGUUGCCCUGUGAUCUGCAGGUCCGGAGAGACGCACAGCUAAGAUGUCAGGACAUCCUGGAAGCUGAGAAAGGGUCUUGCCAUCUCUAAGCUGGACCUGGUGACCUUUUUGGAGGGAAAGAAAGAGCCCUGGACUGUGAAGAGUGAGGAGACCACAGCUGCACAGCCAGUCCAGAUGUAUAAUCUCAUCCCUGAACAUUUCUGAUGGUGUGAUUAUGACAUGUGACUUUAUCCGGCAACAGAGUGAGUUGUUGCUCCCGCCUGAGCCCAGCCCCCAGAAAGGAUUGUGACAUAUCGUUGGACCCAGAAUUGAGGGGGCAUUGUGUCAUAUCGCUGGGCCCCACACAUAGGUUAUGUGACUCUUCUGCCUGUGUCCUGCCCAUGUGGCCCAUUGUGACAUACUGUUGGGUCCCAAACCUAGGUGAUGUAACUCUACUGCUUAGGCCCUGCCUACAGAGGACAUUGUGACAUAUCCCUGCAUCCAUCACACAGGUAAUGCAGCUCUCUUCUGCUUGGCCCCUACUCACAGAAAGGAUUGUGAUGUAUCACAGGGCUCAGCACCUAGCUAACAUGACUUUUCUCCUCUUCUAGGUUUUUGCCCACACGGGAUAUUGUGACAUGUCACUGGGCCUAAUACUAGGGUGACAGUACUCUUUUGUCAUGGCACUGCCCUCAGCAGGUGUGGUGAUAUAUUACUGAGCCCAGAACAAAUGUGAUAUGAGUCUCCUGCCUGGACCCUGCCUACAAGGUGCAUUGUAACAUAUCUGGGGCCCUUUGACUAUUUUAUUUUAUUUAUUGUAUUAUAUUUUAUUUAUUUUAAUUUUAUUUUUGAGACAGAAUCUCACUCUGUCACCUAGAAUGGAGUGCAGUGGCAUGAUCUCUGCUCACUUCAACCUUUGCCUCCUGGGUUCAAGUGAUUCUCCUGCCUCAGCCUCCUGAGUAGCUGAGACUACAGGUGUGUGCCGCCACGUCUGGCUGAUUUUUGUGUUUUUGGUAGAGACAAGAUAUCACCCUGUUGGCCAGGCUGAUACCAAACUCCUGACCUCAGCCAGUCCACCCGCCUUGACCUCCCAAUGUGCUGAGAUUACAGGUGUGAACCAUUGCUCUUGGCACCCUUUGACUAUUUUAUGUGACUCUUCUCUCUUACCUGGACAUUGACCAAAUGGGCCCAGCACCAAGGUGAUAUGACUCUCCUCUCCUGCCUGGGCCUUGCCCAUAGAAGAGAGAGUGACUUACUGCUGAAUUGAGCAUACAGGUGAUACAAUUCUUCUGCUGACUCCCAGAAGUCACUGUAACAUAUAUCUGGGCCCAUUGCUGAGGUUGUGUGACUCUCUUCUCCCUGGGACCUGUCCACAGUAGGGAUUGUGACAUAUUGCUUGGCCAAGCACCUACAUUGUGUGACUUUUUAUUUAUUUUUUUAAGACAGAGUUUUGCUCUUGUUGCCCAGGCUGGAGUGCAAUACCAUGAUCUUGGCUCAGCUGGGAUUACAGGCAUGCGCCACCACACCCGGCAAAUUUUUUUUAUGUUUUCAGUAGAGAUGGGGUUUCUCCAUGUUAGUCACGCUGGUCUCAAACUCCCAACCUCAGGUGAGCCGCCUGCCUUGGCCUCCCAAAGUACUGGGAUUCCAGGCAUGAGCCACUGCACCUAGCUUCGAUAUGACUGUCUUCUUAUGCCAGGGCCCUGCCGACUGGAGUGAUUUUGACACAUAGCUGGGGCCAGCUCAAAUGUUAUGUGACUCCACACUUCUUCCUGAGCCCUAUCUGUGAGGGGCACUGUGUCUUAUCUCUGAGACCGUUAAUUAGGUAACAUAACUUUUAAUUUUUUGAGACAGAGUCUGGCUUUGUCACCCUGGCUGGAGUGCAGUGGUGUGAUCUUGGUUCACUGCAACUUCCGCCUCCUGAGUUCAAGUGAUUCACCUGCCUCAGCCUCCUGAGUAGCUGGGAUUACAGGUACACAUGCCACCACGCCCAGCUAAUUUUUGUAUUUUUAGUAGAGACGAAGUUUCACCAUGUUGGCCAGGCUGGUCUCGAAUUCCUGACCUCAAGUGAUCCACCUGCCUUGGCCUCCCAAAGUGCUGGGAUUGCAGGCAUGGGCCACCACACCUGGCCAAUGUAACUCUUUUGUUUGGACUGUCUUCUUGGGGUAUUGUGAUAUAUUGCUGGGCCCAGAAUCCAGGUGAUGUGACUCUGCUGUUUCAUCUCUGCACAAAAAGGGAUUGUGACAUACCACUGGGUCAAGAACCUAGAUGAGGUGACUCUCCUCUCCAGCCUGGGACCUGCACACAUUGUGUACUAAGACAUAUCACUGAGUCUAACACCUAGGUAAUGCAACUCUCCUUCAUGGGCCCUGCCCAUAGGGGUAUUAUGAAAUAUCUUUCUGUUAAUCACCUAGGUGAUGCGACACUCCUCUUCUACCUGGGAACUGCCAAAACAAGUAUUGGUACAUAUCACUGGGCCCAGCACAUAGGUGAUGUGACUCUUUUCUCAUGCAUGGGCUCUGAGAACUGGGGUGUUUGUUACAUAUAGUUGGGCCUAAACCCUAGGUCGUGUGAUUCUUUUAUUUUCCUGAGCUGUACUCACAGAGAGCAUUUUGACAUGUUUUUGGGCCCGUAAUUUAGAUGAUGUGACUCUCUUGGAUGGGCCCUCCCCGGAAUGGGUAUUGUGACAUAUUGCUGAGCCCAUUAUAUAGGUGAUGUGACUCUCUUGCAUGGGCCCUCCACAUAAGGGGUAGUGUGACAUAUUGCUGAGCCCAGUAGGUGAUGUGACUCUUCUCUAUGGUUUGGGCUUUGCCCAAGCAGGGAUUGUGAUGUGUUGCUGGACUCACCACCUAUGUGUUGUGACUCUCCUCUUCUGCCUAAGCCCUGCAUGCAUUGUGUGUUGUGACACGCCUGGAUUCAACACCUAGGUGAUACAACUUUAUGGCAGGGGAACCACCCACAGAAGUAUUGUAUCAUCUUUCCAUCACUUAGGUGAUGUGAUUCUUUUAUUUUUCCUGUUUCUGGCAUAUUUCGGGUAUAGUGACAUAUCAUUGAGUUCAACACCCAUGAAAUGGGAGGCUUCUGCCUGAGCCCAGCACAUAAGUGGCCUUGUGACAUAUCUUUGCAUUCAUUAUCUAGGAGAUUUAACUCCCCUUUUUGCCUGCACCCUGACCACUGGGAAGAUUGUGGCAAAUCACCAGUCUCAGCAAUCAAAUGAUGUGUUUUUCCUGCCUGGUCCUUGCCCACAGAUCAUUGUAACAUAUCACUGGGCCUAGCAUCCAGGUGAUGUGACUCUGCUGACUGUAUUCUGCUUUCAAGAGGAGAUUGUAACGUAUCCCUAAUCGAGCACCCAGGUGGUGUGACACUUCUGCCCUAUCCCUGCCCUUAGAGAUGAUUGUGACAUAUUGCCCCAAAAGGCAGGUGGUGUGAGUCUUCUGGUCAAUCCCUAUUCACUGGUGGGAUUGUGAUACAUAUCUUAUCCAAACUUAUAGGGGCAAUAUGACUCUCAUACCUCUAAACAACCAAUAGCAGAUACACUAGCUCUCAUAGCCAGGGUCAGGAAAAUGAGUAAUGUCUUGGGUUUCUUCUUUGUAUGAAGGUCAUAAAGAAUUAGCACUCUGUCACAUACUGUGUAAAGUCGUCAAGAGGUACAGGGAAUGUCCUAACAGAACUCAGCACACAGGGGAGGUUGCGACACUCAUAUGCAUAGCCUGCCAACAAUAAAGACUGUCAUCCUUCCACAUAAACACAGCUCACUGUCGAGGUUCUGAAUCUCAUACCCAGAUGAAGUUGAAAGUUAGAAAAUUAAAUCUCAUGUUAAUUCGAUCCAUAGAGAGGUUAGUGUCUCUGAGACCAAGAUUCAGCACACCUGUGAGUCAGUGACUUCAUUAAAAUGACAGAAUUUGCAGGAAGGAUUGAAGUUCUCAUGCACAAAUCCAGACCAUCAUUGAGACUGUCACUCAGGUACUUACACCCAACAUACAGAGGGUAUUUUGUCUCGUACCUAGAACUAAGAAAUGUGUGAAAUUGUUAAUCUCAUACCUCGACCUUAAUUCAGGUGUGUUUGUGACAUACACCUUUUUUAGGCACCUAAGUAAUUUGACUCUCCUGCCUGGGCCCAACGUACAGAUGGGAUUGUGCCAUAUUUCUGGACCCAGGAUUUAGGUGAUGUGAGUCUAUUCUCUUGUCUUAGUGCUUUCCACAGAGAACACUGGACAUAUCACAGGGCCUAGUGCCCAGGUGAUAUGACUUUCCUCUACUUCCUAGGCUUUUCCUAAAAAGGGAUUGUAAUAUACUGCUGGGUCAGAGCCUAGGUCGUGUGACUCUCCUGUGCUGCCUGGUUCCUCUUGUACAUUGUGUAUUGUGACAUGUGGCUUGUUCUAACACCUCGAUGAUGUGAAUCUCCUGCAUGGGCCCUGUCCACAGAGGUAUUAUAACAUAUCUUUUUAUUCAUCACCUAGAUGAUGUAACUCUUUUCUGUCUGGGCCCUGCCAAAAGGGAGGAUUGCGGCAUAUCACUGGAGCCAGCACCUAGGUGAUGUGAUUCUCCUGUUUUCCCUGGGCCUCAAAUAUUUUGGGUAUUGUAAAAUAUUACUAGGCCCACUACCUAUGGGAUUGCAUGCUCCUGCCUGGGCUCUGCCCACAGGGACCUUGUGACAUAUAUCUGCGUCCAUGACCUAAAAGGUGACACUUCUUGCCUGCACCAUGCCCUGAACAGGAAAGAUUGUGACAUAUCCCUGGAACCAGACACCAGGUGAUAUGGCUCUUCUGCCCCUGUCUUGCCCCCAGGGAGCAUUGUGACAUAGUGCUUAGCUCAGCACCCAGGUGAUGUGACUCUGUUGCCUGUGUUGUGCUUUCAGGAGAGAAUUGUAACAUAUCUCUGGCUGACCACCCAGGUGAUAUGACACUCCUGCUUGUUUCCUUCCCUCAGGGAAGAUUGUGAGAUACCUUGGCUGAAAUCCCAGGUGCGGUUUUGACACACUUCUGCCCAGCAGCUGAGUAUUGUGAUUCUUCAGAAUUGGCCCAGCCUACAAAUAGGAUUGUGCCACACUGCUGGACCCAGCACCUAGAUGAUGUAACUAUUCUCCUGCCUUGGUGCUACUCAAAAAAGACAUUAACAUAUCUCAGAGCCUUGCACCCAGGUAAUGUGAGUCUCCUCUCCUGCCUUGCUGCUGCACACAGAAGCGGGUUAUGUACAGGAUUGUUAAUCUCAUUUGGACCUUCCGGCACCUAUGAUUGUGACACAUGCCUCUGUGUAGAACCCAAGUGAGUUUUCUCUCCUGUUUGGAUUUAACCCACAGAUGGAAUCAUGACAUAUCGCUGCACCAGAAA
Gorilla gorilla gorilla (western lowland gorilla) is the source of this 5448-nucleotide RNA transcript. RefSeq lists it as uncharacterized. The record is from RefSeq and is a predicted model, not a curated record. The transcript is spliced from 5 exons. NCBI's taxonomy places the organism in Eukaryota, Metazoa, Chordata, Mammalia, Primates, Hominidae.